RNAcentral lists this ribosomal RNA (254 nucleotides) under uncultured bacterium. RNAcentral describes it as "partial 16S ribosomal RNA". It matches the Rfam family "Bacterial small subunit ribosomal RNA", at positions 524 to 776 of the family's 1533-position model. The record is from RNAcentral.
UACGUAGGGGGCUAGCGUUGUCCGGAUUUAUUGGGCGUAAAGAGCUCGUAGGCGGUGUGUCGCGUCGGUCGUGAAAACUUGGGGCUUAACUCUGAGCUUGCGGUCGAUACGGGCAUCACUGGAGUUCGGCAGGGGAGACUGGAAUUCCUGGUGUAGCGGUGAAAUGCGCAGAUAUCAGGAGGAACACCGGUGGCGAAGGCGGGUCUCUGGGCCGAUACUGACGCUGAGGAGCGAAAGCGUGGGGAGCGAACAGG